AGAUAAGAAGCAGAGGUUGUUGGUGCAGUUCCCAUCGGGGUGAAAGCGAGGCCAGUGCAGCCCUAAGGAGCGCGAUUGAGAACAUAAUUCCAGUCACAUCCGAAGAGAGCUUUGAUUUCCAAGACUUGCGCUAAGAAUGCAACUCGGUGCCAAAUCAUUGCAGAGCAGCUCCAAAAUGGGAAAUGGAAACAGCAGCCCCCUUGCAGCCCAGAGGAAAACAUUCAGCAGCCGAGGAGCUCCAGCGCAGGCAGGUGAUUCACUUCUAAUGGAUGUUAAUGCGGUGGACACGACUGAGCAUAUUCCCAGUGGUGUACACUUACAGUUAAUUGAUAAUUGAGGUCUAUGAAAAAGAUGCACAUUAAAUCAUGGCCAAUGAGCCUGCGUAUAAGGUUGCAGCGAUUCAAAGAACAAGUCUCUAGAGUCUCUUAAGGUCUCCCACGACUGAAAUGCACUCUGAAUGAAUAAUUUAAGUGGAAUUAUUCUUAACUCCUAUUACCUUACUUAAGAUAUUAUUAUUUCAAACAUGUAGCAUAUGCAUGAUGUUGAAAUGCAUAAACGCUUUCACCUCCGCCAACUCCAGGUUGCUCUGUCCUCUAAUGCCUCCCUUGAUGUCUAAUGUUUAAUCAGUGCCGUUCCUAAUGAGCCCAUGCGAUUCUGUGAUUUGUGUAAAUGUAAUGUUUUGUCAGAUUUAACAUCAAUUAUCUGCAGCAUAUUGCUCAGAAAUUGAUGUCUAGUUUGCUGCGCUUUCCUAAAACUGAAGCUAGAGUUAUCCCUCAGUAGCAGCAGCAGCAGCAGCUCAGGAAAGCUUUCAAAUUUUCCUCAAGCACUUUAGUUUUAUAUGCGCAAAAAAAGCUGUUUACUCAGAAAAAAAAACAUAUUUAAAGCAUUCUGACUACAACUCCAAUACAAAAUACAUUACAAUACAAAUACAAUUUAAAAACACAUUACAUGUUUUAAAAAAAAAAAUUUGGGUUCCCUGCUAACACAAAUUAACACAAAACUGAUAUGAUAUGUCAUAUCUCUUAACACACAAUUGGCUCUGUACUUGUUGAAUAUCAAAAGUUAAAGGCUGGAUGAAAGGUUGUUCGAAAAAAACACCUACUGGGUUUGAGGCCCCACACAAACAAGUGCUGCUGACUUGUUGACUUGAGACGGCGUUUCUGAUAUUUUGCAUGUCAGCUACAAAAAAGACUUGCGCAUAAGCAGGAGUGUUGUUUAGAUUUACUGGUUUAAAGAUGAUAAUGCGUUUUGUAUCUUAAUGUCUUAAUUUUGAUUAAUGUUGUUCUUUAUGUUCUCUUUUUUGAUUGUGUAAAGUAAAGCACUUACAGUUUCUCUAUAUGA
This is a non-coding RNA of Labrus bergylta (ballan wrasse), 1341 nucleotides long. Lineage: Eukaryota; Metazoa; Chordata; Actinopteri; Labriformes; Labridae. The record is from RefSeq and is a predicted model, not a curated record.